Molecule: long non-coding RNA, 144 nt
Filed under: Chinchilla lanigera (long-tailed chinchilla)
Lineage: Eukaryota; Metazoa; Chordata; Mammalia; Rodentia; Chinchillidae
Description: lncRNA (ENSCLAG00000029060.1)
Source: RNAcentral
UGCUCUUUUAAAACUGAAGCUUCUUUGUGUUAUUUUUGUUAUUGCGACAAGAAUAUAAAUAUAAAUGGCCUCUAGGGCAUUUGUCAAGUUGAGCACGAAAGCAUUCCUGGGGACUCAGGGUCUGCAGCUAAAUUCAAAGGGCAA